GAUGAACGCUGGCGGCGUGCCUAAUACAUGCAAGUCGAGCGAACGGACGAGAAGCUUGCUUCUCUGAUGUUAGCGGCGGACGGGUGAGUAACACGUGGAUAACCUACCUAUAAGACUGGGAUAACUUCGGGAAACCGUAGCUAAUACCGGAUAAUAUUUUGCACCGCAUGGUUCAAAAGUCACAGACGGUCUUGCUGUCACUUAUAGAUGGAUCCGCGCUGCAUUAGCUAGUUGGUAAGGUAACGGCUUACCAAGGCAACGAUGCAUAGACGACCUGAGAGGGUGAUCGGCCACACUGGAACUGAGACACGGUCCAGACUCCUACGGGAGGCAGCAGUAGGGAAUCUUCCGCAAUGGGCGAAAGCCUGACGGAGCAACGCCGCGUGAGUGAUGAAGGUCUUCGGAUCGUAAAACUCUGUUAUUAGGGAAGAACAUAUGUGUAAGUAACUGUGCACAUCUUGACGGUACCUAAUCAGAAAGCCACGGCUAACUACGUG
Molecule: ribosomal RNA, 497 nt
Filed under: uncultured bacterium
Lineage: Bacteria
Description: partial 16S ribosomal RNA
Rfam family: Bacterial small subunit ribosomal RNA
Source: RNAcentral